This 48-nucleotide ribosomal RNA is filed under the name Culex pipiens pipiens. Its description in RNAcentral is "partial 28S ribosomal RNA". Lineage: Eukaryota; Metazoa; Arthropoda; Insecta; Diptera; Culicidae. The record is from RNAcentral. RNAcentral also lists the same sequence under 1 other name.
CCCCAUGUAGGCCUCAAAUAAUGUGUGACUACCCCCUAAAUUUAAGCA